This is a long non-coding RNA of Prunus persica (peach), 571 nucleotides long. RefSeq lists it as uncharacterized. The record is from RefSeq and is a predicted model, not a curated record. NCBI's taxonomy places the organism in Eukaryota, Viridiplantae, Streptophyta, Magnoliopsida, Rosales, Rosaceae. The transcript has 2 exons.
AAUUAUGAUAUUUAAAAAAAUUGAACAAAAGUCGAGGUUCAAGUCUUCCCUCACAAAUGGUGGAAUUCUUUCUGGAAGAAAGAAAAAAAUUAUAGUAGAAUGUCAAAAUACAAGUUGCAGCAACGUCCAAUUGCAACCCAAAAUCAAAGUAGUAGAAAAAUCAACCCUCCAAUUCAAAUGACGCCAUCUCAGACCAUUGAAAUCUAUAUAUACAGAUCAGCAAAGCAAGUUUUUGUUAUUUUCUUUUUCUCUAGCUAAUAUUAAUGGCAGGUGAGUGUAUGAGGUCUGCUCUGGUGACCCUCUUCAUCUUUGCCAUGGUACUCUCUCCUAUUUUGACCUCUGAGGCAGCUCGAUUCACUUUUCCAGAUACAACUCCUAUAUGUCCUGAUUGUGUAUGCUGCGCACCUCCCCCACCAGGCUAUUGCUGCGAUUGUAAUUGUGCUGCACCAAUUAAAACUCACACCGAUGAGUAAGGGUCGCCAUGAUAUACAUGUACAACCAAAUUUGUAUGAUAAUGGAAAAGUAUAUAUAUAUAUAUAUAUAUAUAUAUAUACAGGGGGAUUACUGUGUA